UACGGAAGGCAGCAGUGGGGAAUAUUGCACAAUGGGCGAAAGCCUGAUGCAGCUAUGCCGCGUGUAUGAAGAAGGCCUUAGGGUUGUAAAGUACUUUCAUCGGGGAGGAAAAAACAAAACUAAUAAUUUUAUUUCUUGACGUUACCCGAAAAAGAAGCACCGGCUAACUCCGUGCCAGCAGCCGCGGUAAUACGGAGGGUGCUAGCGUUAAUCAGAAUUACUGGGCGUAAAGAGCACGUAGGUGGUUUUUUUAAGUCAGAUGUGAAAUCCCUGGGCUUAACCUAGGAACUGCAUUUUGAAACUGAAAUACUAGAGUAUCGUAGAGGGAGGUAGAAUUCUAGGUGUAGCGGUGAAAUGCGUAGAUAUCUGGAGGAUACCUGUGGCGAAAGCGGCCUCCUAAACGAAUACUGACACUGAGGUGCGAAAGCGUGGGGAGCAAACGAGGGAUUAGAUACC
Molecule: ribosomal RNA, 456 nt
Filed under: uncultured bacterium
Lineage: Bacteria
Description: bacterial SSU rRNA
Rfam family: Bacterial small subunit ribosomal RNA
Source: RNAcentral